GCAGCCUGCAACUCGGCUGCAUGAAGCUGGAAUCGCUAGUAAUCGCAGAUCAGAAUGCUGCGGUGAAUACGUUCCCGGGUCUUGUACACACCGCCCGUCACACCAUGGGAGUUGGAAAUGCCCGAAGUCAGUGACCGAACCGAAAGGAAGGAGCUGCCGAAGGUGGAGCCGAUGACUGGGGUGAAGUCGUAACAAGGUACC
This 201-nucleotide ribosomal RNA is filed under the name uncultured bacterium. Its description in RNAcentral is "partial 16S ribosomal RNA". It matches the Rfam family "Bacterial small subunit ribosomal RNA", at positions 1300 to 1500 of the family's 1533-position model. The record is from RNAcentral.